Dreissena polymorpha is the source of this 216-nucleotide long non-coding RNA. RefSeq lists it as uncharacterized. The transcript has 3 exons. NCBI's taxonomy places the organism in Eukaryota, Metazoa, Mollusca, Bivalvia, Myida, Dreissenidae. The record is from RefSeq and is a predicted model, not a curated record.
GCACCUGUCUAACAACCAGUUACGCAACAUCUCCCGGGCGACGUUCAGCGGCUUGAUAAAACUAGAACAUCUGAAUUUAGGCUACAACGCACUCAAAUCCAUAGACGACGGUUUAUUUGAAGAAGUGACGAGUCUAGCCUCACUGGAUUUACGAUGGAACGCACUCGAAUCCAUAGACGACGGUGUAUUUGAAGAAGUGCCGAAUCUAACCCAACU